GGGGUUAGCGUUGUUCGGAAUUACAGGGCGUAAAGCGCAUGUAGGCUGACUGGAAAGUUGGGGGUGAAAUCCCGGGGCUCAACCUCGGAACUGCCUCCCAAACUACAAGUCUAGAGUUCGAGAGAGGUGAGUGGAAUUCCAAGUGUAGAGGUGAAAUUCGUAUAUCUUCGGAGGAACACCAAUGGCGAAAGCUGCUCAGUGGCUCGAUACUGACGCUCAGGUGCGAAAGUGUGGGGAGCAAACAGGAUUAGAUACCCUGGUAGUCCACACCGUAAACAAUCAAUGCCAGUCGUCGGCAAGCACGCUUGUCGGUGACACACCUGACGGAUUAAGCAUUCCCCCCGGGGAGUACGGUCGCAAGAUUAAAACUC
This 371-nucleotide ribosomal RNA is filed under the name uncultured bacterium. Its description in RNAcentral is "bacterial SSU rRNA". It matches the Rfam family "Bacterial small subunit ribosomal RNA", at positions 531 to 902 of the family's 1533-position model. The record is from RNAcentral.